GGGCCUGUGGCUCAGUGGGUAGAGUGCUGACCCCAUAUACCAGGGGUGGCAGGUUCGAACCCAGCCUGGACCA
This 73-nucleotide transfer RNA is filed under the name Otolemur garnettii (small-eared galago). It matches the Rfam family "tRNA". Rfam says of the family: Transfer RNA (tRNA) molecules are approximately 80 nucleotides in length. Their secondary structure includes four short double-helical elements and three loops (D, anti-codon, and T loops). The record is from Rfam by way of RNAcentral. Lineage: Eukaryota; Metazoa; Chordata; Mammalia; Primates; Galagidae.